This 131-nucleotide ribosomal RNA is filed under the name Rhipicephalus muhsamae. Its description in RNAcentral is "partial large subunit ribosomal RNA". Lineage: Eukaryota; Metazoa; Arthropoda; Arachnida; Ixodida; Ixodidae. The record is from RNAcentral.
ACCCUAUGAAUUUAUUAAAUUUAUGUUAAUGAGAAUUUCCUAUUAAAUAAAUUUUGGCUGGGGCGGCAAGAAAAUAUCAAAAACUUUUCAGAUAAUAAAAUGAUCCAUUAGUAAUGAUUACAUGUUAAAUA